RNAcentral lists this ribosomal RNA (492 nucleotides) under uncultured bacterium. RNAcentral describes it as "partial 16S ribosomal RNA". It matches the Rfam family "Bacterial small subunit ribosomal RNA", at positions 30 to 507 of the family's 1533-position model. The record is from RNAcentral.
AGUGAACGCUGGCGGUAGGCCUAACACAUGCAAGUCGAACGGCAGCACAGUAAGAGCUUGCUCUUACGGGUGGCGCGUGGCGGACGGGUGAGGAAUACAUCGGAAUCUACUUUUUCGUGGGGGAUAACGCAGGGAAACUUACGCUAAUACCGCAUACGACCUACGGGUGAAAGCAGGGGAUCUUCGGACCUUUCGCGAUUGAAUGAGCCGAUGUCGGAUUAGCUAGUUGGCGGGGUAAAGGCCCACCAAGGCGACGAUCCGUAGGUGGUCUGAGAGGAUGAACAGCCACACGGGAAGUGAGAAACAGUCCAGACUCCUACGGGAGGCAGCAGUGGGGAAUAUUGGGCAAGGGGGGCGAGCGUGAUCCAGCGAUACCGGGUGGGUGAAGAAGGAGUUCGGGUGGGAGAGCCAUUUUGUUGGGAGAGAAGAGCAGCAGGUUAAUCCGGCGCGGUUAUGACGGUACCCGGAGAAGAAGCACCGGCUAACUUCGUG